RNAcentral lists this unclassified non-coding RNA (242 nucleotides) under Hevea brasiliensis (rubber tree). Lineage: Eukaryota; Viridiplantae; Streptophyta; Magnoliopsida; Malpighiales; Euphorbiaceae. The record is from RNAcentral.
GGAAAAGCAAAGAGCAAAAGCGACAAUGUUCAUAAGAACUCUUAUAUAUCCGAUGAUAUUAGGGAUGUAGAGAUACACCGACCGAGCCAUCGAAACUGUCUGGGCGGCUCCAAUCAGCUACAAUGCAUCAAAGCCUUGAAACCUCUUGCCGCUUGCUCGGUUUACUGUUCGUUUGGGGGAUGGAUCUGAGGUUGACGAGACGGUGGCGGAGGGUGGCGGAUCUGAGAGGCGGCGGCGGUGGA